This 213-nucleotide long non-coding RNA is filed under the name Bos taurus (domestic cattle). Its description in RNAcentral is "long non-coding RNA NONBTAT015631". Lineage: Eukaryota; Metazoa; Chordata; Mammalia; Artiodactyla; Bovidae. The record is from RNAcentral.
CUUAAAACUUCAAGUAUUUGGAACAAACUGAGAUCGUAGGCCUUGAGUUAUUACUGAUGAUUGUUAUGGCAUCCAUCAUCAGAGACUUUCUAAGCACUGCAAGAGGCUUGAAACCAGGGUAAAUGAGAUGCUGAGUAAAGAACAAGCCGUCUGUCAUGACAUCUGUCCCUGAAGAUCUUAUCACCCUGGUCCCUCUGACCUUGACAAGAAGGG